Cavia aperea (Brazilian guinea pig) is the source of this 101-nucleotide unclassified non-coding RNA. Its record names the gene Vault. It matches the Rfam family "Vault RNA". From Rfam's summary of the family: This family of RNAs are found as part of the enigmatic vault ribonucleoprotein complex. The complex consists of a major vault protein (MVP), two minor vault proteins (VPARP and TEP1), and several small untranslated RNA molecules. Lineage: Eukaryota; Metazoa; Chordata; Mammalia; Rodentia; Caviidae. The record is from Ensembl.
GGGCUGGCUUUAGCCCAGCGGUUCCUUCAAGUCUGGCUUCCCAACCGCCCGGGUCGAUUGGUCCAGUGGUUCAAGACCUGCGGGCGCUCUCCAGUCCUUAA